GUCUAAGGCCAUACCACCCUGAACGCGCCCGAUCUCGUCUGAUCUCGCAAGCUAAGCAGGGUUGGGCCUGGUGAGUACUUGGAUGGGAGAAAUAUCACAUUGUGAUUGAUA
Cavia aperea (Brazilian guinea pig) is the source of this 111-nucleotide ribosomal RNA. The record is from Ensembl. Lineage: Eukaryota; Metazoa; Chordata; Mammalia; Rodentia; Caviidae.